This 529-nucleotide ribosomal RNA is filed under the name uncultured bacterium. Its description in RNAcentral is "bacterial SSU rRNA". It matches the Rfam family "Bacterial small subunit ribosomal RNA", at positions 980 to 1509 of the family's 1533-position model. The record is from RNAcentral.
CUUGACAUCCAGAGAAUUUAGCAGAGAUGCUUUAGUGCCUUCGGGAACUCUGAGACAGGUGCUGCAUGGCUGUCGUCAGCUCGUGUUGUGAAAUGUUGGGUUAAGUCCGCAACGAGCGCAACCCUUAUCCUUUGUUGCCAGCACGUAAUGGUGGGAACUCAAAGGAGACUGCCGGUGAUAAACCGGAGGAAGGUGGGGAUGACGUCAAGUCAUCAUGGCCCUUACGAGUAGGGCUACACACGUGCUACAAUGGCGUAUACAAAGAGAAGCGACCUCGCGAGAGCAAGCGGACCUCAUAAAGUGCGUCGUAGUCCGGAUUGGAGUCUGCAACUCGACUCCAUGAAGUCGGAAUCGCCAGUAAUCGUAAAUCAGAAUGUUACGGUGAAUACGUUCCCGGGCCUUGUACACACCGCCCGUCACACCAUGGGAGUGGGUUGCAAAAGAAGUAGAUAGCUUAACCUUCGGGAGGGCGUUUACCACUUUGUGAUUCAUGACUGGGGUGAAGUCGUAACAAGGUAAGCGUAGUGCU